Molecule: ribosomal RNA, 847 nt
Filed under: uncultured organism
Description: SSU rRNA
Rfam family: Bacterial small subunit ribosomal RNA
Source: RNAcentral
AUGACGAACGCUGGCGGCGUGCCUAAUACAUGCAAGUAGAACGCUGAAGAGAGGAGCUUGCUCUUCUUGGAUGAGUUGCGAACGGGUGAGUAACGCGUAGGUAACCUGCCUUGUAGCGGGGGAUAACUAUUGGAAACGAUAGCUAAUACCGCAUAACAAUGGAUGACACAUGUCAUUUAUUUGAAAGGGGCAAUUGCUCCACUACAAGAUGGACCUGCGUUGUAUUAGCUAGUAGGUGAGGUAACGGCUCACCUAGGCGACGAUACAUAGCCGACCUGAGAGGGUGAUCGGCCACACUGGGACUGAGACACGGCCCAGACUCCUACGGGAGGCAGCAGUAGGGAAUCUUCGGCAAUGGGGGCAACCCUGACCGAGCAACGCCGCGUGAGUGAAGAAGGUUUUCGGAUCGUAAAGCUCUGUUGUAAGUCAAGAACGAGUGUGAGAGUGGAAAGUUCACACUGUGACGGUAGCUUACCAGAAAGGGACGGCUAACUACGUGCCAGCAGCCGCGGUAAUACGUAGGUCCCGAGCGUUGUCCGGAUUUAUUGGGCGUAAAGCGAGCGCAGGCGGUUUGAUAAGUCUGAAGUUAAAGGCUGUGGCUCAACCAUAGUUCGCUUUGGAAACUGUCAAACUUGAGUGCAGAAGGGGAGAGUGGAAUUCCAUGUGUAGCGGUGAAAUGCGUAGAUAUAUGGAGGAACACCGGUGGCGAAAGCGGCUCUCUGGUCUGUAACUGACGCUGAGGCUCGAAAGCGUGGGGAGCGAACAGGAUUAGAUACCCUGGUAGUCCACGCCGUAAACGAUGAGUGCUAGGUGUUGGAUCCUUUCCGGGAUUCAGUGCCGCAGCUAA